GGCGGACGGGUGAGUAAUGCUUAGGAAUCUGCCUAUUAGUGGGGGACAACAUUCCGAAAGGAAUGCUAAUACCGCAUACGCCCUACGGGGGAAAGCAGGGGAUCUUCGGACCUUGCGCUAAUAGAUGAGCCUAAGUCAGAUUAGCUAGUUGGUGGGGUAAAGGCCUACCAAGGCGACGAUCUGUAGCGGGUCUGAGAGGAUGAUCCGCCACACUGGGACUGAGACACGGCCCAGACUCCUACGGGAGGCAGCAGUGGGGAAUAUUGGACAAUGGGCGCAAGCCUGAUCCAGCCAUGCCGCGUGUGUGAAGAAGGCCUUUUGGUUGUAAAGCACUUUAAGCGAGGAGGAGGCUACUUGGAUUAAUACUCUAGGAUAGUGGACGUUACUCGCAGAAUAAGCACCGGCUAACUCUGUGCCAGCAGCCGCGGUAAUACAGAGGGUGCGAGCGUUAAUCGGAUUUACUGGGCGUAAAGCGUGCGUAGGCGGCUUUUUAAGUCGGAUGUGAAAUCCCUGAGCUUAACUUAGGAAUUGCAUUCGAUACUGGGAAGCUAGAGUAUGGGAGAGGAUGGUAGAAUUCCAGGUGUAGCGGUGAAAUGCGUAGAGAUCUGGAGGAAUACCGAUGGCGAAGGCAGCCAUCUGGC
This 641-nucleotide ribosomal RNA is filed under the name uncultured bacterium. Its description in RNAcentral is "bacterial SSU rRNA". It matches the Rfam family "Bacterial small subunit ribosomal RNA", at positions 97 to 733 of the family's 1533-position model. The record is from RNAcentral.